CAAAGGUGAGCCAGUACAGGAUGGACCCGCGUCUGAUUAGCUAGUUGGUAAGGUAACGGCUUACCAAGGCGACGAUCAGUAGCCGACCUGAGAGGGUGAUCGGCCACAUUGGAACUGAGACACGGUCCAAACUCCUACGGGAGGCAGCAGUGGGGAGUAUUGCACAACGGGCGAAAGCCUGAUGCAGCAACGCCGCGUGAGUGAUGAAGGCCUUCGGGUCGUAAAACUCUGUCCUCAAGGAAGAUAAUGACGGUACUUGAGGAGGAAGCCCCGGCUAACUACGUGCCAGCAGCCGCGGUAAUACGUAGGGGGCUAGCGUUAUCCGGAUUUACUGGGCGUAAAGGGUGCGUAGGCGGUCUUUCAAGUCAGGAGUGAAAGGCUACGGCUCAACCGUAGUAAGCUCUUGAAACUGGGAGACUUGAGUGCAGGAGAGGAGAGUGGAAUUCCUAGUGUAGCGGUGAAAUGCGUAGAUAUUAGGAGGAACACCAGUUGCGAAGGCGGCUCUCUGGACUGUAACUGACGCUGAGGCACGAAAGCGUGGGGAGCAAACAGGAUUAGAUACCCUGGUAGUCCACGCUGU
Molecule: ribosomal RNA, 580 nt
Filed under: uncultured bacterium
Lineage: Bacteria
Description: bacterial SSU rRNA
Rfam family: Bacterial small subunit ribosomal RNA
Source: RNAcentral